This is an RNA transcript of Oncorhynchus gorbuscha (pink salmon), 6414 nucleotides long. It is a transcript of the gene named zinc finger FYVE domain-containing protein 16-like, with no coding region annotated. The record is from RefSeq and is a predicted model, not a curated record. The transcript is spliced from 17 exons. NCBI's taxonomy places the organism in Eukaryota, Metazoa, Chordata, Actinopteri, Salmoniformes, Salmonidae.
AUGUGAACCAUAACGAAAUUACUAACAUUAUGCCUAACCUUAACUUCAAAUUAAGACCAAAAUCUAAUUUUAGUUUCAAUCAAUUUUUACGAUAGCUUUGUGGCUAUGGUAACCGAUUCCACCGGUGGAUAGAUCCAAAAUGGACGCCGGAGUAAAAACUGCACUGAGCUUUAAAAACUUCAGGAAUAACAAAAGGGCAAAGAGGAUGCAAUCAAGAGUAGACACACAUUCUUCGUUAUAACCAGAAGAAUCGUAAAACGGUUGGAAGGCUAAAUGAUGAAUCUUCCGGAGGUGAAGUAGUGAGUGGAGCCUCUCUCCCGCCAAAAGCCUAGCAUGGACAACUUCUUCAAGGCUGCUGUAUGUGACCUGGACAAGCUUCUGGAUGACUUUGAGCUCAAUACAGAUGAGCACAACUACAGAUCAGUCUCUCUGUCACCUCCAGCGUACCCCGGCCACUCUCUGGGCCCCCAGGGUUUCCUUCCGGAAACCUCCACAGUUCCAGUUCCGCACUCUCUCCUUGACCUAAACUCCCUGCACUAUGGCACUGCCCCCAGCUGCCCUGACUGUCCCAGCCCCAGUCCUGGAGAUUGCGAGGCCAGGGGACGGCCUCUCAUGGGGGUUGACCUGCUCUCCUCUGUGGACGGCCGGGGGGCUGCUAAGAGCUGUGCGCCACCCUUCCCCAAGCGAGCCCUGAAGCCUGUGUGUGACCUGGUCAGUGACACAGGCUCAGCCCACCUCCUCCUCCGGGCCAACAGCCACGACGCCUUCAGUGAGCUGGAUGUGGUGGAGAGACGGCUGGAGGAGGAGCUUCUGGUGGACUUCACCUGCCCCUUGGUGGCACUGCCUGAGGACUCCUCAGCAGGUCUGGGUCCCGGCCUUGGGAGGACUGAGGGGAGGGAGGCUGCCGGGGGAGGGGAGGGGCUGCUGGGGCUGGACUCUGGUGGUUACUCUGCCACUCUCAGUCUGCUGGAUGUGAUUCUCCCUGCUGCUGUGGAGAGGCCCCCCUCACUGAGGAACUCUGAGUCUGGAGAGACGGAGGAAGAGCGCGACAGAGAGGGAGAAGCGACAGAGGUGGCCUUCGUCAAUCAACACCUGAAAAUCACACCAGCCCACCAGGACCAGGCUAGUGUCCCACCUGUUGCCAUAGACACUAAAAAAGAGGACACUCCCACGUGUGAUAUCGACACAGAGGCCAGGGAGGAGGGUGAGGGGUCUUUGGAGCCCUCUGAGCUGACUGAAGCAGAGAGCUCUGGGAGCUGCACUGGACAGGAACCUAACCCUGAGGACGGCAGUGGUGGUGUAGCCGAGAGCCCAUCAGCAGAGACUGAGCUUUCGCUGUCCUGCCUGCCCAUGGGCGUGUCCAUGUGUGGGGCCCUGGUGGCAUCCAAGAACCCUGAGGAAGGCAUGGGAGAGGGGGGAAGGGAGGCUGGCCUAACUGAGACCUUACAGGCAGAGUCCCUGUCUGCUUUCGAAGUCCAGGAGGAAGUUACUCUCCCAGAGAACCCUGAGACUGUGGGGGACUGUACCAACCCUGAUGAUGCCCCUGAAAACAAACCUGUCCAGUCACCUAGCACACAGAGCCCAGAGACAACCACCAUGGCUUUCCACAUGGCAGCCUCGGCUUCCACCGUCUCCCAGCGGCCACUGAAGGUCAGCUUCUCCCUAGUGGAAAAGCAGCCAGUCACAGGGGCUCCACAGCACCCAGGCUCCCCUACCUCAGAGCCCAGCCCCAACCCAAUGGACCCACCUGCGUUUGGGUUUGAGUACCUGCCGGAGAGUGACCAGGCCGGGCUGCUUGUGACAGAUGAGGAGCUGGACGCCUUCCUCCGGGGGGAGACCCAGGGCCAGGAGGACAAUGGGGUCCCUGACUGCGGGAGGCCUGGGGAGAACCUCCAGGAUGAGGGAUUCUCCGAGCUCAACGGGAACCUGGAGGAGCGGCUAGUGGAGGAGGAGCUGCGGAGCUGCAGCCGGAGCCUAGGGGAAGGGCUGGAGAGGCUGGCCUCCCGGGAGAGUGACAGGAUCUUGUCUGCAGAGGGGAACGUGAGUCGAGCUCUCUCCGCUCCCUCCCAGGACUCCCCCAGCCACAAAGACUCCAGCCCCUGUAGUCCCAGUAACCUCCCACCACCCUACUACGGAGGGGCCCGACCCAAACAGCUGCACUGUCAAGCACCCAGAGCACCUCCAGCAGCGGGGGAGGACCAAGGGCCCAGUAGCCCCACAGACCGCACCGACACUGGGGAAGAGGUGGACCAAAGCCCCUCUCCUCCCAGCCCCAACCCUGCCGAGGACCCCUCUAACCAAGGUGUACCCUGUCCAGGUUACUCCCCGCCUGAGCUCUAUGUGAGCAGUGUGGGGUACGACGAACUGUCUGAGCCCCCACCCUACCCUGGCAAACCUGCUGGAGAGGGGAGCGUGUCCUCAGAGGGGAGGGAGGCGGAGGAUGCAGAUGGGCUGGGGUGCAAGCAGCCCCCCUGGGUGCCGGAUUCGGAGGCACCCAACUGUAUGAACUGCUGGCAGAAGUUCACCUUCACCAGGAGGAGGCACCACUGCCGGGCCUGUGGGAAGGUGUACUGUGCCAUCUGCUGCAACAGGAGAUGCAAGCUAAAGUACCUGGACAAGGAGGCCCGGGUGUGUGUCGUCUGCUUCGAGACCGUACACAGGAGUAAAACACAAGCCCAGGCGCUGGAGCGUAUGAGGAGUCCACCAGGUCCGAGCCCCAACCCCAACGUCCCGUCAGAGUACUGCAGCACCAUCCCCCCCCUGCAGCAGGCCCGGGCUGCAGGCACCCUCAACUCCCCUCCGCCCACCGUCAUGGUGCCUGUCUCCGUGCUCAAAAACCCUGGCAGCGAUGGUUGUCCUCGUGAGCAGAAGCGUGUGUGGUUUGCAGAUGGCAUCCUGCCCAAUGGAGAGGUGGCCAACACCACCAGGCUCUCUGUGACUGGCAGGAGGGGCUCCCAGGAGUCCAGCCCUGUCACACCUGACCCACCUACGGCUGGCAGCAGAGUGUCCCCUGGCUCUGCAGCGGUGUCGGAGGGUGGUGUGUCGGCCUCAGUCGAGGUGGUGCGCCCCCCAGUGUCAGGACCCUGGGACUACAGCCUACUGUGUGGGGUGGGGGGCUGUGUAGAGAGGUGCCCCAGUCUGCUGCCAGAGGAUGAGGAGGGCUUGCCACCUCUACUCAUCACCACCGGAGAGGAGGAAGGAGGAGGGGAUCUAUUGGUGGAGGAGCGCCCCGCCCCCUGCCAGAUCCUUCUCCUAUUGGAGGAGGGAGGGCCGCGACCUUUGACCUUUGUCCUCAACGCAAACCUGCUGGUCAACAUCAAACUGGUCACCUACUGCUGUAGGAAGUGCUGGUGUCUGGGCUCCAGUGGUCUACAGACUGUGGGACAGAGGGAGGUGGUGUUCAUCCUGGAGGUUCUGCCAGAGGAGAGGGCUCUGCCCAAAGACCUGUUCACACUCUACCUCUCCAUCUACCAGGACGCACAGAGAGGGAAGUAUGUAGAGGAGCUGGGCAACGUGGCAUUCACAGGUAGUUUCCUGGGGAGUAAGGAGCACGGCGGCGUGCUGUUUUACUCCCCUACCUUCCAGCCCCUGGAGGGCCUCUGUCUGCCCCCACAGCCCUUCCUCUGUGGUCUGCUCAUCCAGAGGCUGGAGGUGCCCUGGGCCAAGGUGUUCCCCCUCAGACUGCUGCUACGGCUGGGAGCAGAACACAGUGUGUACCCCAGCACUCUGGUCAGCGUCCGCUUCAGAGAAACUGUGUUCAGAGAGACAGGACACACCAUCAUGAACCUGUUGGCUGACCUGAGGAACUACCAGUACAGUCUGCCUGCUGUGGAGGGUCUGAGGAUCCACAUGGAGAUGGGCCACAGCUACAUUGACAUUCCCAAGAGCAGCUUCCCUGAGAUGCUGAAGGUUGUGAAUGCGUCUAACGAGCAUGUGAUCAGUGUGGGUGCCGGGUUCAGCUCAGAGGCUGACUCUCACCUGGUCUGUUUCCAGAACAACGAGGGCACCUAUCAGACCCAGGCCAACAGCCAGCCUGGCAAGACACGCACAGUGACGGGGGCCAGCUUCGUGGUGUUCAACGGGGCCCUGAAGGCCUCGUCAGGCUUCAUCGCCAAGUCAAGCAUCGUGGAGGACGGCCUGAUGGUUCAGAUCCCCCCAGAGACCAUGGAGGCCCUGCGUGCCGCCCUGAGGGGGCAGACUGACUUCCACAUCCCCUGUGGCAAGGCUGACGGAGGGGAGCUCCGGGACAAUGUCACCGUCCGCUGGAUUGACUGGAGUUCCCCCGUCAACGCUGGAGUGACCAGUGGUGUAGACAGGAAACCUCUAGAGGGGGUCCACAGUGUGAGGAUGCAGCAGGACACAGAAUUUGAGUCGGACGGACGCACCAUCAGGUGUACUGAGGUGUUCUACUGGCUGAAGAGUCCAGACAUGUCCCUGUCUGCGGUGCUGCCGUCCUGCAGUGUGUUCCACAGGGAGAUGGCUGUGGCCAGCUGUAGUGCUCUGACCCCUCACCUCUCUGUCCUCUCAGCCAGCGGCAUCAACUCCCUCGCCCUCAGAGUCUCUACACACACUGACAUGGUGGAGUACCAGGCCGGUUCAGGAGGCAGGCUCCUACCCCAGCGCUAUAUGAACGAGCUAGACAGCGCUCUGAUCCCCGUCAUCCACGGAGGUUCAGCAAGAGUGCCACAGACAGCCAUGGACAUGGAGUUUAUCUUCUACAUCACACACACUGUCUAACACACACAGUCUCGCACAUGGAAACACAAAAACUGUUAAACACUGUACGUGCCAUCACACACACACACACACACACACACACACACACACACACACACACACACACACAGCCUGGAUGUCUUUCCUCAAAGUAAAAGGCUGGAGCUCAGAGGACCUUGGACAAACUGACAGAGCCUGAGUACACAAACAGCCAAUCAGGCGUGGCUAAUAACUGAACUGAAGACACACGCCGCCAACGGCAGGACAUUCCCACAGAGUCUCUCUCUGAAGGCCUUAGAAUAGAGAUGUAGGUCUUUGUUCCAGGAUGGACAGUGGAGAAACUGGAACAGUGAAAUGGCUUUAAGUCUGAGAAACAUUAUGAAUGCUGCUUUAACCCACGAGGCCAAACAUUUAGCACAAAUAACAACAACAAUCCCAAAAAGAAUGAACUCUCCUGAAACUGACUUUUCUCAUCUCUUCCUGCUCUGCCUUGAUUUCUCACUGGCAUCUGUCUGUCAGCCAGCCAAGGAACACCUUGUUGAAUGUUUCCAACCGACACUGUCAACAAACUGCUUUCUUUUCUCUACUCUUCUUUUCAUCUAUUUACUGUAUAUUUAGAAUGACCACAUGGCAAAUCAGUGACGAAUUAUAUUGAAGUUACUUGAUUGACAGCUGUAUGCCAAGCUUGAGAAGAGCAGCAUGACAUGAGACACUGAUGUGCUUUGUAGAAGUUUCUAGAUAAACUGUUAUUUGAGGAUGUGAGCGCUAUUUUAGAAUGAGUAAAUUCUAGAAUGGCGUUUUGAACUUCUUCUCUCUUCAUCGGCAGAAUGCAGAGUCUUGUUUAGCAGACCAGUGGUCUCUCCAGUUGUGUGUUAUAUGUGGGGAAUUCUCGGACAACCCUCACUGUCUCGUCCAAAUCUAUAGAAAUUAUAUCAAGCUUUUUAAGCUUAAAGUACUAUUUUUUUUGGAACCGUUACGUAAAUGGAAUUGAUGUUCGUAUUUUUGAUAGGACGUUAGCUAGCUGAGUCACUUUCGCAGGUGUCGUGCAAAUGAGGCCUGAGGAGCACAGAAAAAAAACAAUGGACAAGAGUUUCCCCUGAUGAGGAACACUGUAAAGGAAUUAAAAGUUCCCUCCACAUUUUGUCUGUUAUUAGCUGCCCUAGAAAGCCUUGAACCAGCCAGACACAUUAUUCAACAAUAUCACCGAUACUGACUGAUGUUAUUGACAUGGUCCAAUCUUACUGAUGAAGGUGAGUGUUAAUGUAACAUUGAUCUAUAUAAAUUCCUAUUGAUGCAUAUGACUGACGUUGAUUGACCAUAUCUUCAUUUCUCAUCGUGUUGUGUUGCGGCACUCUUAAAACCCUCUAGAGUCGACAUAAUAAGUAACAUAAAUUCCCCAUCAACAUCCUUCAAUUUAAACUAGAGAUAUCUGAUAUCUCAUUCCACCGCAUCUGCCUAUGGCGGCCUUCCGCGUCUACGGUGAAAGGUGGCAGAGCUACAGCGGUGUUUGUCAGACCAUGAGACAUCCCAAAAAUCAGUCUCACGAAAACGUCUGUAACGUCCAAACGGUUUGCCCACUAUGGAAAAGGGAGAUGAGAGAGGCCUGACAUUUUCAUCACAGGUACACUUCAACUAUGACAGACAAAAUGAGGGGGGAAAAACCCCAGAAAAUCACAUUGUAGGAUUUGUAAUGAAUUU